Long non-coding RNA from Macrobrachium nipponense, 570 nucleotides. RefSeq lists it as uncharacterized. The record is from RefSeq and is a predicted model, not a curated record. The transcript is spliced from 2 exons. Lineage: Eukaryota; Metazoa; Arthropoda; Malacostraca; Decapoda; Palaemonidae.
CUUAAGAAGAGUAAAGGAAGAUUAUCAGCGGGGGUGACCUAAAUUGGCUUACUUGUGGACGAAUCUCUUGGUAUAAAUACCACCUUUUCUGUAAACUUUUCUCAUUCAUAUACCUGAAGAGAGAGACAGCAGUCUCUGAAAUAUAGUUACUUUCUCUCUACAUUUUGGUGUUUUUAUGGGCUCCUUUUAUUAGAUGGAAUUCUGUUGUUACAGAACAUUUUUACCAGUCAUAUAUAUAUAUAUAUACACACACACACACAUAUAUAUAUAUAUAUAUAUAUAUAUAUAUAUAUAUAUAUAUAUAUAUAUAUAUAUUUUAGGAAAUGAAGAAAACAGGUCAGAAGAUUAAACCGUUUAUUUCAUCGAAAAUUAAAUUCCCGAAGAAGCGACGUCACUCGUUCCAGUGGAGCCCAGAAUCGUAGCAGAAGAGACCGAGAGUUGUUCCUGGACAUAGUAGAUCUAUCCGUAGUAAGGUCUGUGGAAUCCUCCUCCAAAUCCGCCUGGUCUGAAGCCACCUCCGAAGCCUCCGAAACCGCCUGGUCUGAAGCCUCCCCCGAAGCCUCCAAAGCC